GGUGAAAAGCACCCCGGAAGGGGAGUGAAAUAGAACCUGAAACCGUGUGCUUACAAGUAGUCAGAGCCCGUUAAUGGGUGAUGGCGUGCCUUUUGUAGAAUGAACCGGCGAGUUACGAUUUGAUGCAAGGUUAAGCAGUAAAUGUGGAGCCGUAGCGAAAGCGAGUCUGAAUAGGGCGUUUAGUAUUUGGUCGUAGACCCGAAACCAGGUGAUCUACCCUUGGUCAGGUUGAAGUUCAGGUAACACUGAAUGGAGGACCGAACCGACUUACGUUGAAAAGUGAGCGGAUGAACUGAGGGUAGCGGAGAAAUUCCAAUCGAACCUGGAGAUAGCUGGUUCUCUCCGAAAUAGCUUUAGGGCUAGCCUCAAGUGAUGAUUAUUGGAGGUAGAGCACUGUUUGGACGAGGGGCCCCUCUCGGGUUACCG
Molecule: ribosomal RNA, 426 nt
Filed under: Staphylococcus aureus
Lineage: Bacteria; Bacillati; Bacillota; Bacilli; Caryophanales; Staphylococcaceae
Description: partial 23S ribosomal RNA
Rfam family: Bacterial large subunit ribosomal RNA
Source: RNAcentral